Molecule: ribosomal RNA, 465 nt
Filed under: uncultured Klebsiella sp.
Lineage: Bacteria; Pseudomonadati; Pseudomonadota; Gammaproteobacteria; Enterobacterales; Enterobacteriaceae
Description: bacterial SSU rRNA
Rfam family: Bacterial small subunit ribosomal RNA
Source: RNAcentral
CCUACGGGAGGCAGCAGUGGGGGAUAUUGCACAAUGGGCGCAAGCCUGAUGCAGCCAUGCCGCGUGUGUGAAGAAGGCCUUCGGGUUGUAAAGCACUUUCAGCGGGGAGGAAGGCGUUAAGGUUAAUAACCUUGGCGAUUGACGUUACCCGCAGAAGAAGCACCGGCUAACUCCGUGCCAGCAGCCGCGGUAAUACGGAGGGUGCAAGCGUUAAUCGGAAUUACUGGGCGUAAAGCGCACGCAGGCGGUCUGUCAAGUCGGAUGUGAAAUCCCCGGGCUCAACCUGGGAACUGCAUUCGAAACUGGCAGGCUAGAGGCUUGUAGAGGGGGGUAGAAUUCCAGGUGUAGCGGUGAAAUGCGUAGAGAUCUGGAGGAAUACCGGUGGCGAAGGCGGCCCCCUGGACAAAGACUGACGCUCAGGUGCGAAAGCGUGGGGAGCAAACAGGAUUAGAUACCCCAGUAGUC